UACCUUAUGUUGCCUCGGCGGAUCAGCCCGCGCCCCGUAAAAAGGGACGGCCCGCCGCAGGAACCCUAAACUCUGUUUUUAGUGGAACUUCUGAGUAUAAAAAACAAAUAAAUCAAAACUUUCAACAACGGAUCUCUUGGUUCUGGCAUCGAUGAAGAACGCAGCAAAAUGCGAUAAGUAAUGUGAAUUGCAGAAUUCAGUGAAUCAUCGAAUCUUUGAACGCACAUUGCGCCCGCCAGUAUUCUGGCGGGCAUGCCUGUUCGAGCGUCAUUUCAACCCUCAAGCCCAGCUUGGUGUUGGGAGCUGCAGUCCUGCUGCACUCCCCAAAUACAUUGGCGGUCACGUCGAGCUUCCAUAGCGUAGUAAUUUACACAUCGUUACUGGUAAUCGUCGCGGCCACGCCGUUAAACCCCAACUUCUGAAUGUUGACCUCGGAUCAGGUAGGAAUACCCGCUGAACUUAAGCAUAUCAA
RNAcentral lists this ribosomal RNA (472 nucleotides) under Fusarium graminearum. RNAcentral describes it as "eukaryotic LSU rRNA". The stretch from base 117 to 270 matches the Rfam family "5.8S ribosomal RNA". Lineage: Eukaryota; Fungi; Ascomycota; Sordariomycetes; Hypocreales; Nectriaceae. The record is from RNAcentral.